RNAcentral lists this signal recognition particle RNA (96 nucleotides) under Bacteriovoracaceae bacterium. RNAcentral's name for it is "signal recognition particle sRNA small type". It matches the Rfam family "Bacterial small signal recognition particle RNA". Rfam says of the family: The signal recognition particle (SRP) is a universally conserved ribonucleoprotein involved in the co-translational targeting of proteins to membranes. Lineage: Bacteria; Pseudomonadati; Bdellovibrionota; Bacteriovoracia; Bacteriovoracales; Bacteriovoracaceae. The record is from RNAcentral.
GGUGAUUUAGGUUCAAUAGUGAAAAUUAUGAACCCCGCCAGGUCCGGAAGGAAGCAACGGUAGAUAUUUUUUGCUAUGUGAAUUUAAGUCACCACU